AGCGAGCGCUCGCUAGUUCGGGACUCACUUCGCUGCGGUGUGGUAGAUUACGAACCAUCGCACUCAGGGCUCCCACCAGGUUUCUUUACAGAGUCCAGCGCUUGUAUAAACAACUACUCAAAGAAUCAUUUUUAGCUGCAGCACCUGUCUCUCUCCUUCGAGGUAUUGGAUUGGGUGAAAGAAGAGCUAAUGCUUAUUGAACCCCCAACAACUUGUUAAUCGUUUGCAUCUUAAUGCAAGACCCGAAAUCCUUACAGUUCCCUGAAGCAAGUGCUCCCUAGAGGUGAAGAAGACGAGACUUAGCAGCUUGACCUAGGCAACCGAACUCGACAAUCUUGUUCGCCGCCGCAUCCGAGCGUUUGGCACACAGCAUCUACCCUUCUCUGCACAGCCAUGUGUUCUAGAGAGGGUAGAGCUUCAGUGCAAGCCCCAAGAUGUAACACAGGAUUGGUACAACUGGCUGUUCUGGACCCCUUCUUCUCGGUUCCGUCACACAGUUCACAGGGGACAAUCCUGGUGGAUAAGGAAGAGGACCAAUGUGAAAAACUGUUAUUCAUCCUUUCAAAGCAUCAAAACCCAAUCACUUGUGAAGUGUUGAACAAGCCAACAUCCGAUGACCUUAUGCUGGUAUCAUGUCUGGGGCUGUGAUCCUGACUGCACAGGACCUGUGAAGAACUGUAACUCACCUUAAUAGGAAUCUUCUGAAAACGUUGGAGGAAAGGAAUGUAAACUGGUCUUAUUGCCCUUGGUAACCAUAAUAGAAGUAUUUGACCCCAACAGGUAUUUCCCCCCCAGGUGUGGAAGGCUUUUUGUUUUCUCAUUUCACAGGUAGGACCAAAUAUAGCUGCAGCAGGGAGAGUUCCAGAUGUGGUUGUCUGUAUGUGUGUGGAGAGAAGUUGCUGGUGUCACUCGGGGAAGUCAGAAAAGAUUGUUUUCCUUUCCACAGUCAAACUUUCUUCUUAAGAGGUACUCAAAGGCUUCUCAUUGCAAAAAAAAAAAAAAAAAAAAAAAACUUCUUUCUGAAGCAACAAGUUUGUGAGCUUACAUGCUUCUUAGCUCAUGACAAGGAUCAGUAACACUGUGGGAGAUUGUGCAGUCCAAUAUGGGAACCACCAGCCACAUGAGAGUAUGUGCAUUUAGAAUCAGGGACCACAUAAUGAUGUUUGGUUAGUUAUGAUGAACUGCAUAUUUGAUGGUGGUCCCGUGAGAUUUUAUCACCUACUGAUGUCAUAGCUGUCUCAGUUUGUGUAAAUACACCGUAUGAUUUCACACAAUGAUGAAAUUGCCUAACUACGCAUUUCUCAUAGCAUAUCUCCAUCAUGAAGCAAUGCGUUACUUAUAAUUAAAAUGAAAUCAAAUUAAAUCUUCAGUUCCUCAGUUGCUUUGGUUAUAUUUCAAGGGCUCAAUAGCAUACAUGAAUAGUGGCUACCAUGCUGGACAGAGCAGCUACAGGACAUUUCCAUCAUUCCAGAACAUUCUAUUGGAUGGUGUUACUCUAAGACAAACCUCAUAACAGAAGUUGCCUAAUUGGUCCCAGACAGUGGGGAGCUGCUCCACGGCCUGAGGGCCCUGGGUAAGGUUAGAGUGAGGAUAUCGUCCUAUAAAUCUGUACAGAUGCACAGGUGAAGUCACUGGAGUGAAAGCUGAAUUCAUUAAGUCCCAAGUUUCCAAUGCUAUUAUAAGAUGACAUAUGAUGACACUUUAAUAAAUAUU
This 1713-nucleotide long non-coding RNA is filed under the name Ictidomys tridecemlineatus (thirteen-lined ground squirrel). Its description in RNAcentral is "lncRNA (ENSSTOG00000030675.1)". Lineage: Eukaryota; Metazoa; Chordata; Mammalia; Rodentia; Sciuridae. The record is from RNAcentral.